This 781-nucleotide long non-coding RNA is filed under the name Salmo salar (Atlantic salmon). RNAcentral's name for it is "lncRNA (ENSSSAG00000097003.1)". The record is from RNAcentral. Lineage: Eukaryota; Metazoa; Chordata; Actinopteri; Salmoniformes; Salmonidae.
CAUCACCGCAGCACCUGCUGGGAGAGCUGGCCAGAAAAUGCCCAUCUUCAGUGCUCCAUUGAUUUACAGUAUAGCCAGGGGCAUGCUCCAACACACAUCAUUUACAAACAAAGCAUGUGUUUAGUGAGUCCGCCAGAUCAGAGGCCAUGAUGGAUUCUACGACUUGCUCGGGUCCAUCUGGCCCCACCUCCCAUCGGCCAUCGAGGGGUCUUCUAAGAACAGCAGGACCUUCUCAGCCAUUUCACCAGCUGUCAUCAUUGGCAGCUCUAUGGUGAAAAACAUCUCAGUUCCCAGGGCAAAAACCCUGUGCUAUCCUGGGGCACAAGUACAGGACAUUACAAGGCUGCUUUCUAACAUUGUACGACAGCUGCCGGGGGCUGACUCUGUCGUAGUCCAUAUGGGGUCAAAUGACAUUAGGAGGGCUAGCUAAGAACUGCUGAAAAUUGACUUUUAAACAUUAACCCAUAGCCUACAAUUUCUACGCCCCCGCGGAAAUCUAAUUAACACAAUUAAAAAUCCCUAUCAAAAAUCGAUCUUUUUAAGUUGGUUAUAUUUUUGUUGUUGCAUGGGCUGCAUCUCAAUCCACCUCAUCUGCCGAUAUUGCCCUGCCACAUCUGCGGUGAAAGGUAGACAUAGCUAGAGCGGUGUUUGUCAGACCAUGAGACAUCCAGAAAAUUGUUCUUGUCACAAAAAUGUCUGUAGCGUUCGAACGUUUUGGCCUACAAAGUAUUAUGACUACUAUGUUGGAAGAUGAUCUGUUUUGCUCAAGGAUGCCCACAAG